UGGGGAAUUUUGGACAAUGGACGCAAGUCUGGUCCAGCCAUGCCGCGUGCGGGAAGAAGGCCUUCGGGUUGUAAACCGCUUUUGUCAGGGAAGAAACGAGUUUCUCUAAUACAGAGACUUAAUGACGGUACCUGAGGAAUAAGCACCGGCUAACUACGUGCCAGCAGCCGCGGUAAUACGUAGGGUGCAAGCGUUACUCGGAAUUACUGGGCGUAAAGCGUGCGUAGGUGGUUUGUUAAGUCUGAUGUGAAAGCCCUGGGCUCAACCUGGGAAUUGCAUUGGAUACUGGCAGGCUAGAGUGCGGUAGAGGAUGGCGGAAUUCCCGGUGUAGCAGUGAAAUGCGUAGAUAUGCGGAGGAACACCGAUGGCGAAGGCAAUCCCCUGGACCUGUACUGACGCUCAUGCACGAAAGCGUGGGGAGCAAACA
RNAcentral lists this ribosomal RNA (427 nucleotides) under uncultured bacterium. Its description in RNAcentral is "bacterial SSU rRNA". It matches the Rfam family "Bacterial small subunit ribosomal RNA", at positions 355 to 774 of the family's 1533-position model. The record is from RNAcentral.